RNAcentral lists this ribosomal RNA (490 nucleotides) under uncultured bacterium. RNAcentral's name for it is "partial 16S ribosomal RNA". It matches the Rfam family "Bacterial small subunit ribosomal RNA", at positions 30 to 507 of the family's 1533-position model. The record is from RNAcentral.
AUUGAACGCUGGCGGCAGGCCUAACACAUGCAAGUCGAACGGCAACAGGGUGCGGCUUGCUGCUUUGCUGUCGAGUGGCGGAGGCGGGAGAGAUGUCCGUGGGACUGUAUGUUGUAGGGGGGGAUCUACUGGGAACGGUUGCUAAAACCCCAUAACCGCCCUAGAGCAAAGAGGAGGACCUCCUCGGCCCUUGCGCUCGGAUGUGCCCAGAUGGGAUUAGCUAGUUGGUGGGGUAACGGCCCACCUAGGCGACGAUCCGUAGCUGGUCUGAGAGGAUGACCAGCCACACUGGAACUGAGACACGGUCCAGACUCCUACGGGAGGCAGCAGUGGGGAAUAUUGCACAAUGGGCGCAAGCCUGAUCCAGCCAUGCCGCGUGGAUGAAGAAGGCCUUCGGGUUGUAAAGUACUUUUGUCGGGGAAGAAAAGCGUCAGGUUAAUACCUUGCCUUAUUGACGUUACCCACAGAAGAAGCACCGGCUAACUUCGUG